RNAcentral lists this long non-coding RNA (2056 nucleotides) under Micromonas commoda. RNAcentral's name for it is "long non-coding RNA (MCOM_LNC000043)". The record is from RNAcentral. Lineage: Eukaryota; Viridiplantae; Chlorophyta; Mamiellophyceae; Mamiellales; Mamiellaceae.
AUUCAAUUAAUAUUACGUUAAAAGUGGCUCACCCUAUAUAUACUAUCUAAUGAAAUUCAGAAUACUAUCAUAAUAAGCGAAGGUAUUCUGGAUUUCAACCAGGUUGAACACACCCAAAGCGAUAACGUAUAAGGUACCCCUUUAGGUUAACGAUGAUAACUCUGAGUAGUUUAACGUUGGAACGUGAAUUUGAUGACUAUGUUACCAUACGACGAUUAAAUCAAUGGUACCAUUAGCUCCAAAUAAUAAAGUUAAAGGUGAUAAUAACUUAUUACCUUCAAUUUUAUGUUAUUAUCGUCGUUAUUAAGGGUGUGGUCAACCUGAUUUUAAUCCAGAACCUGUAAAAUAUAAAUUACAGGUUCUGUAUAUGUAAUGUUAUGGAUAAUUUAUGGAUAUAAUAGACCAUACUCCCUAUAUCGUUGACUCGUUGAUUUCGUUGACUCGUUGACUUUUGACUAAAACAGGGUCGCGCGUGUUUUUUUUCCGUAUGGCGCCUAGUCAGGCCCCGUCAGGACGGCGAGCGCCGAUGGCGUCCUCCAAUUUUGGCGCCGAGUAGCGUAAUUGCCAGUUGUCUAGCGCGCUCGCCGUCCUGACGGGGCCUGACUAGGCGCCAUACGGAAAAAAAACACGCGCGACCCUGUUUGUUUGGCGCGGAGCACGUGUCUGUAUUUGCAACCGAUCGGUGAUCGUAUGGUGACUCCACUGCCGACCGAAAGUCAACGAUAUAGGGAGUAUGGUCUAUUAUUUAAAAUACGAACGAAUAAUGAAAGAAGGACAGGGGUGUGUAAUUAUUUAAUGAACCGGCCUUUUCGAAAAUCAGGGUAUUUGCUCAUGGGAGAACGACCACGCACACGUGCACACUCUUGGCGGCAUUAUUCGAGCGAGGCGCAACCUUCGACAGCUUUUUUUACAUCCUCGGGCAGCUAACGGGGAGGCCGACAAAGUUGUCGAGCCGAUUUUUGAUUUAUGCCCUGGCCAUCGAGCAGUCGCGCCUCCCGCGGGGCCAAACGAUGAGGCGGAUCUCUGCGUCACGACGCAUUUUCUCAGAAAUCUGCUCGACAACUUUGAAGGGACGUUCGCGGGCAACGGGAAAAUGAGGGUUUUAUUUUGUGCAGAUAAAAACUGCGGCUGAAUGCCGCCGAGAGUGUGCACAUGUGCGUGUUCGUUCUCCUAUGAGCAAAUAGUAUUAUUUUCAAAAGGCCGGUUUAUUAAAUAAUUACGUCACCCCAGUCCUUAUUAUUAAGUGUUUAAGUAUUUUCGUAACGACUGAAAGGUGCAAUUGAAGGUGCAAGUUUUCUUUCGAGACAACCGCCGCCGGAUCCUCACUCGCCCUUUGCUCCCGGACACAAGUUCCGCGCAGCUUUGAAUCGUCCCAUCAGUCGAUCGAGAAAUUUGUUCGUGUCAUGACUUCGAGAAAUUCUCCAGAUUUCACUCAGAAGCAUCCUUUGGAGCACACCUGGUCUCUAUGGUUUGAUAACCCUAACGGGUGAGAAUGAAACCACCCCCAAACUCUCACACCGUUGUUUAGGAGGUACUGACCAUGGAAACCAUAUUUCAGGCGGCAGAAGCAAGCGACCUGGGGACAAACUCUACGCAGCGUCUACACUUUCAACACAGUCGAAGACUUCUGGUGUCUAUACAACAAUAUCCUUUCUCCAAGCAGGUUGAUUAUGGGCACCGACUUCCACCUUUUCAAGGAGGGGAUAGAGCCAAAGUGGGAAGAUGCAAAGUGUGCAAAGGGUGGAAAGUGGACAUACUUUUUCCCCAAGAGCAAAGAGCCCGGCGCUCUUGAUGACUGCUGGCUUAGUCUCUUGCUGGCUAUGAUCGGAGAACAGUUCUGCGAGCCCAGUGAAAUCUGCGGAGCUGUAGUAAGUGUUCGCCAAAAACAGCACAGGGUUGCCCUGUGGACCAAAACAGCUUCCGAUGAAGCCGAUCAAAUGGCCAUUGGCAGACAUUUCAAAACUGUUUUGGGCUUAGCAGACAACGAAAAAAUCGGAUACAUGGUCCAUGAUGAUGCCAUCAGGUUGGAGCGUCGUGCGAAAGACAGAUACACCGU